This 362-nucleotide long non-coding RNA is filed under the name Monodelphis domestica (gray short-tailed opossum). RNAcentral's name for it is "lncRNA (ENSMODG00000032506.2)". Lineage: Eukaryota; Metazoa; Chordata; Mammalia; Didelphimorphia; Didelphidae. The record is from RNAcentral.
AUUAUUCCAAAUUGUCCUCCAGAAUGAUCAGAUCAAUUCACAACUACAAUAUUCCCGUCAGCAUUUGUCAUUUUCUUUUUCUGUCAUUAGCUAAUCUGAUGAGAAACCUGAGGUAGAUAGAAGUUAUGUGACUUGCUCAGAGUAUGUAACUGGUCUCUUGAAUACUCAUGGUCAAGGAGUGGGAGAAGGCAAGAAAAUACGCAACAGACAUUCGCUUCCAACUUAAGUCUUCCUUGUUGUAAACAAGUCACAUGAAAUACUGCUGAUGAAAGUAACCAUGAGUCAGAAUACAGUGCUGUCAGCAAAGUCAUCCCUAAGAACAAACAAUAGCAAUAAACUAGCAACUUGAGAAAAUUUUGACA